This 73-nucleotide transfer RNA is filed under the name Yasminevirus sp. GU-2018. It matches the Rfam family "tRNA". From Rfam's summary of the family: Transfer RNA (tRNA) molecules are approximately 80 nucleotides in length. Their secondary structure includes four short double-helical elements and three loops (D, anti-codon, and T loops). The record is from Rfam by way of RNAcentral. Lineage: Varidnaviria; Bamfordvirae; Nucleocytoviricota; Megaviricetes; Imitervirales; Mimiviridae.
GUCUCUAUAGUUCAAUGGAUAAGAACACUGCCCUCAUAAAGCGGAGAUAUGAGUUCGAUUCUCAUUAGAGACA